RNAcentral lists this non-coding RNA (148 nucleotides) under Chlorocebus sabaeus (green monkey). The record is from Rfam by way of RNAcentral. Lineage: Eukaryota; Metazoa; Chordata; Mammalia; Primates; Cercopithecidae.
GCUGGGUGUGGUGGCGGGCACCUGUAGUCCCAGCUACUUGGGAGGCUGAGGCAGGAGAACUGCUUGAACCCAGGAGGUGGGGGUUGCAGUGAGCCGAGAUUGUGCCACUGCACUCCAGCCUGGGCGACAGAGCGAGACUCUGUCUCCA